RNAcentral lists this ribosomal RNA (254 nucleotides) under uncultured bacterium. RNAcentral describes it as "partial small subunit ribosomal RNA". It matches the Rfam family "Bacterial small subunit ribosomal RNA", at positions 26 to 286 of the family's 1533-position model. The record is from RNAcentral.
AGGACGAACGCUGGCGGCGUGCUUAACACAUGCAAGUCGAGCGGAAAGGCCCUUCGGGGUACUCGAGCGGCGAACGGGUGAGUAACACGUGAGUAACCUGCCCCUAGCUCUGGGAUAGCUCCGGGAAACCGGGAUUAAUACCAGAUACGACCACUUUAGACAUCUGUCGUGGUGGAAAGGAUUCCGGCUAGGGAUGGGCUCGCGGCCUAUCAGCUUGUUGGUGGGUAACGGCCUACCAAGGCGACGACGGGUAG